Small nuclear RNA from Lepus europaeus (European hare), 105 nucleotides. NCBI's taxonomy places the organism in Eukaryota, Metazoa, Chordata, Mammalia, Lagomorpha, Leporidae. The record is from RefSeq and is a predicted model, not a curated record.
GUGCUUGUUUUGGCAGCACAUAUACUAAAGAUCGGAAGGAUACAGAGAUUAACAUAGCCCCUGUGCCAGGAUGACAUGCAAAUUCAUGAAACGUUCCAUAUUUUU